Molecule: long non-coding RNA, 2004 nt
Organism: Diceros bicornis minor
Lineage: Eukaryota; Metazoa; Chordata; Mammalia; Perissodactyla; Rhinocerotidae
Exons: 2
Source: RefSeq, a predicted model, not a curated record
CAUAUCCACAUGGGGCCUGGGUUGACCUCCUCAGGACAGGGUCGGCCUCGGGCAAUGGUUCCUGAUGGCGUCCUCUCUUGCCACUUGGUCCAGAUGGGAGCCUCUUCUGUUCCCCUGCCUCUCUGAGUGUGAGUGCAUGGGGUCCAUGUCACCCUGUCAACCCCUGUCAACACAGCUUCCUCCCGGGUCCCGGUCAUCCGAAUUGUCCACAGGCCCAUGAACUGAAAUUAUUGUGGAGGGUCAGGGCAGAGCUUUGUUCAGAGAUUACACGGAGGUUGAGCAGCCAAGAAGCCAAGUCACGGCCCGGAGGCGUCUUCACCAGGUGUGGUUGUUGACCAGGGACAGGCUGGCCGGGGAAGGUGGGCCCGCCCUCGAGUCUCCCCCUCUCAAGUUUCUGGAUGGAGUCCCUGGGUCCAUCGUGGCCCGAGGCUGUGAGAGGGCUCCUGGGGCGGCCUCGCCCAUGGGGGCCCGCUGGGGGCAGGUCUCAGCUCGGUGGUAACUGACGAUGGUGGAGAGGAUGGGUAUUGACUGCACACACCCGCUGAGCUGGUAUCUGAAUGCCACCCCUCCUUGUCUUAUGCAAAUAAGAUGCCAGGUGGGCAGGAGACCAUCCAAAGAUCCGGAGGUGACCUCCGGAGGGAUCAGAGGGUCGGGAGACCAGUGGGUGCCUAGGGUGGCCUCAGGUGCCUGGAGAAAGUGGGGCGAGGGGCCAGGGAGCGGCCGGGGGCUCCUGCCUGUAGCGGACUCGCUGCCCUGAUGCGGGUGGAUGUGUCCUGGGUGCGGCGAAGGCUGGAGUGAGGUGGGGGUGCAUAAACUGCCCAGCUGAGCCCAUCACAGAGCCGGGUCUGCAGGUGGCCGGCCCUGGUCCAAAUAAGCAGGCUGCUCUCUCCCUGUCGCCCACCGUGAAGUCUGUCCUCACACCUGUCCAUCCAUGUCUCUGCCCAGCAGCAGAGUCCUCUUCUCUCAGCCCUGGCCUGUUUCUAACACACAACACAGCACCUCAAUAACCACAACCACCGCCACCUGUGCUGAGGGCUCGACAUAGUGGGCGGGCGGCACCCCUAGGCCAGGUACAGUGAGUGGGAUCCAUGACCACCAUGUGCAGUUGUGCAGGUUGCUCACUGCACAAGGAUAUCUGGCCAGGGGGCAAGUGGGGGCUGAAAACCAGCUCUCUUUCUGUUUCCCAAGCACACUGCGUUCACCUGGAGACAAGGGGCCUUUUUCCAAUUCAUGUGAAGACUGUCCGCUGGCCAGGCUACAUGGAUGGGGCACAACAUCCACCCACAAGGGGGCCUCUCUGGACCCACAGCGCCGUGGGCUGCUGGGCUGCACGAAGGUGCAGGUCCCCCUUCCCUCCCACUGGGGAGGCUCUCUGCCCUCUGCCUGCACAGGGCACACAGGGCAGGAGGGAAGGGACUAGGACGAGGCCGUGGGCUCCCUUCUCUCCGCAGCAGGGCGGGCCUCUGGACCCUCCUCAGAGCCCUUGCCUCCUCCUCACCUCCCACCGUCACUCCCCCCCCUCCCCACUCUCUGGUUCUGCUCUAAUCCCCUCUCUCUGGAUGGGUCCCGGCUCCCACCCCCCACUGCGGGCCCCACCCGCCCCUGUGGAUGCCCGAGGCCCCUUCCCCCGGAAUGGGAGCAGAGCUGGUGAUGCGUGGAGGCGCGGCCCCUCAUGGGCCUGAGCGGUGGGACGUGACUGCAGUGGGGGCUGGACGGGGCAGCUGCUCUCCGAGCGCCCCCCCGGGGCACGGCCCCGGAUCCCCAUCCUGGAGAGGGGGCGUCAGAUCAUGAUGACUAUAAUUGUAAACCCAGCAACUGUCGCUAUUGAGUGCUGUGCGACCUCACAGACCUUCCCAGCACUUCCACGAGGUCCCCACCACUGUGCCCUCCCGUUUACAGGUGGGUAGACCGAGGCACAGAGGGGCGAGGUGACGUGCCCAAGGCACACAGUUAACAAAAGGCAGAGCGACUUUUAUCUGUGAAAGACAGGAGCUCUUUUUUUUU